CUAAAGGGAGAGUUUGGCUCAGAUAUUUUAUUGUAACAUCGUCAUCAUCUCCUUUAGAUUUUUAUAUCACUGUACAUCCCAGCUGAGCAGGCUGUGCUAAUAAUUGUUCUUUUUUGGAAAAAAAAAAAAAAAAAAAAAAAAAAAAAAAAAACACUAUGAAUGUAACCCCUGUUUGCCUUCUUUCAAUUUCAUAUUUUUCUUUCUUUUGGUCCAAAAAAAUAAUUUUUAAACUAGUCAAAACGGUGCUGAAGAAUUGUUUUCUCUUACACAAACUGUAAGAGAAACUGUUUCUGCUACAGGUGAAUUUCCUCCCGCCCAGCCCCUCCCCCCCCACCAAAAUUCUGCAGGUGAAUUCAAUCCCAAAUCAAACUCUUGCUCCAUGACACCAGCUGCACAGAAUGCAAACCAAUAUAAAAGGCCUCAUGCAGAGUUGAUCUUGUUUGGGUGGUUCAACAGUGGUAUUUAGCUGCUACAUGCUGGUUCAUAGAGAAUUUCUUACUAAUGAGCAGCUUGAAUUAUAAUAUUCACAUCUGGUUCAGCAAGAGAAGAUCAAGGCGGUGUACAUCUUCAAGUUCUGCGUUUUGUGAUGUGCAUGAAGCAAAAUGAGAAUGAAUUCCAGGGAUUGCAUAAGGGAAACGUGUAGCGCCAUUUUACAAGCAGUCAAGUUUUCGAACUAUGAGCUUCACCCAGCUCUGCCAUGGACCAUUCUACAUAAUACAGGCUGUAUUAGGUCAGUCAUAUAGGACUGGUACAUGCUAUAUUGGCCCAAACUGAAAUAGAAUAUUUAAUAUAGAUAAUGGUGAAGAUAUUUUAUUUCCAUUCUAUCCAAAUACUUACCUGGUGACUAUUGGAAAAAUACCUAUCUUUUGUUCAUUUGUCUUACACACUUUCAAGUAAGCAUUGAUAGCCUGUUUUCUUUCUUUCUGCCUGCUUCUCUCACCACCAGUGUAACUAGAAGAGAUUUAGAAGUCAAAUUUGAAGAUUUCAAAUUUUACCUCAUCAACAGUGAAUUUGAUGGAAAAUGUCCUCUUGACUUCAAAGAACAUUGAAUUGUGCUGUUAUAUAAAAUGUCUGCGAUAAAUCUGGAAAAUUAACCUACUUACGCUUAAUGCCCUGUUCAAUAUCUUAAUCAUUCGUUGAGAAAAUAUAAAAGCACUACAUAACCAUCACUAUUAUAUAUCUUCAUUAAAAUGGAUGGGAACAGCAUCUUUGAUGAUCAUAACUUAACCAAAGCAGUAAAAAAAAAAUCAUGUCUAAAAAUAACCAGCCUUCUAAUACAGAUCCUGGGUGCUUGCAGUUUUGACUCCCUCACCUUCAGUCCUUAGCCAAUUAUUAGCCAAGAUUCUCUUUUUGCGUGUAGUCAUUUAACUAAACAUCAGUUUUGUGUAAACAAAACAUGCCAUUCAUUAAUCCUGCAGUAACAGCUAGUGUGUAACCUUAGGUUUCUCAGCGAUGUACAAAUGUUUGACAAAAGACUAACUAUGACAAUUAAAGCAGCUUCCUUCAUCAAAAUAGAAUGGUUGCAAAGAGCUGUUUCACUAUUGUAUAGCUAUCAAUCAAACAGCUGAAUGUGAGCUAAUGAAAAAGUCACUUUCUUUCUGCUGCCUACAGCAAGAGAGAAUAAUAGUUGAGAAAGG
RNAcentral lists this long non-coding RNA (1637 nucleotides) under Anas platyrhynchos platyrhynchos (common mallard). RNAcentral's name for it is "lncRNA (ENSAPLG00000016852.1)". Lineage: Eukaryota; Metazoa; Chordata; Aves; Anseriformes; Anatidae. The record is from RNAcentral.